GAUGAAGAACGUAGCGAAAUGCGAUAAGUAAUGUGAAUUGCAGAAUUCAGUGAAUCAUCGAAUCUUUGAACGCACCUUGCACCCUUUGGCAUUCUGAAGGGUAUGCUCGUUUGAGUGUCAUUGUACUCUCACACUCCCGAUCUUUGCAUUGGGAGCAGUGGACUUGGGUUUGCUGCUUCACCGUCGCUUACCUCAAAUAGGUUAGUGCAACUCUUGGUUGGACAUAGUACGGCGUGAUAAGUGUUCUUCGCCGGUGCCUCGCAAAGAGGGUGGCCGAUCGGGAUGUUGUGCUCCAAACCGUCUUCGGACAAUCUCUGACGACUUGACCUCAAAUCGAGUAAGACUACCCGCUGAACUUAAGCACAUCAAUAAGCGGAGGA
This 380-nucleotide unclassified non-coding RNA is filed under the name soil metagenome. RNAcentral describes it as "partial contains 5.8S ribosomal RNA, internal transcribed spacer 2, and large subunit ribosomal RNA". The stretch from base 1 to 120 matches the Rfam family "5.8S ribosomal RNA", at positions 35 to 154 of the family's 154-position model. The record is from RNAcentral.